CAGAUCGUAUCGAACAAGUAGAAUCUCGUACACUAGAGUGAACAUUAGUAAGUACAGAAUUCAGUCAUAUUCUGGCCAAGCUUUUUGUUUUUUUGUUGAAAUUUUAUCGAUUGUUUUAAUUGCUAUUCCCUAUUUGAAGAUUAUGAAUCUUAACUAGGAGGUUAGUCCUAUAUACUGACACAGUUGAAUGAAAUAGAGUUUUCAAGUAUUUUGACUUGUUUUUUGAGUGGAUUCUCAAGCAAAGUCCUGCUGUUGGAUUAGAGAGACACC
Molecule: long non-coding RNA, 270 nt
Filed under: Linum usitatissimum (flax)
Lineage: Eukaryota; Viridiplantae; Streptophyta; Magnoliopsida; Malpighiales; Linaceae
Description: long non-coding RNA (LUSI_LNC001672)
Source: RNAcentral